AUUUGAACUGGUGACACGAGGAUUUUCAGUCCUCUGCUCUACCGACUGAGCUAUCCCGGCCAAUGUCUCUACGGAGAUGCCUCAAAUUCAAAUGAGACGGAUAUCUUUUCUCUUCGAUCUAUCUCUGCCCAAUUGAACUGAACCAAUAAAUAACCUUGGUAAAACAAUAUUAUUGUUGUUCAAUAUUUUAUUGAGUUUUCAAAUGAACCACUCAAAUAGCCUUUUAGGCUUGGUGAGUGGUUCAUUUGUGAUCAAUACUCAAAUAAGAUGUUAAACUGCUUUCAAAAGGAUAUGGUAUUAAUCCAAAUUGAUCGAGCUAUGAGUCAAAGAUAUAAGAUUUGCUACCCCCUCCUCUAGUUCGAAGAAGUGAGAAAACCAUAUGGAUCUGAAUAAUCUAUAUAUAGAUUGGAGAUUAUACCCUGUUCUGUUGGGGAUAGAGGGACUUGAACCCUCACGGUCCUAUAAAGACCAACGGAUUUUCUUUCUACCACAAUUUGCAUUGCUACUUCUAGUAACCGUGUAGAAUGGGACUCUAUCUUUAUCCACGAUAAGAUUAUUAAUUGCUACUAUUUGUCAAGUAGUAAUCAUUAGAAUACUAUGGGAGACAGGCACUGUAACAGGUAGAAAAGAGAUAUGAGAGUUAGGAGUAAUAGAAUCUAUAUAUCUAUAAUUUGAUAAAUUGAAAUUAUUGGUGUGAUCCUGCGAACGAAUGUCAAUUUUAAACCGACAACUGGGGUCGCGUUCGAUCCUUAUCCAACUAGAAAAAGCUUUUUUUUCCUUUCUUCGUCCCAUAUUCCUGUGCUUUAUCUCGUUCGAUCACCCAUAUGGAGCAGUUACAUAUUCAGUUACUUUAGAAAUAAGAAUUAAUAGAUUGUUCGUUAGAAUAGCCCCCGUCGAGUCUCUGUACCUAUCUCGUUUCGUCAUCUAAAAUUUAGAUGAGAUGAGAUUUGGCUCAGGAUUGCCCGCAAAAUAAUCCUAGGUUCCCCCGAAUCUGGGAGCUGUCACUCGGUACGUUUCCAUACCUAGGCUCAAUCUGAUUGAGUCCGUAGCGUCUACCGAUUUCG
This 1064-nucleotide unclassified non-coding RNA is filed under the name Cibotium barometz (golden chicken fern). RNAcentral describes it as "partial contains tRNA-Leu (trnL), trnL-trnF intergenic spacer, and tRNA-Phe (trnF)". The record is from RNAcentral. Lineage: Eukaryota; Viridiplantae; Streptophyta; Polypodiopsida; Cyatheales; Cibotiaceae.